Molecule: ribosomal RNA, 491 nt
Filed under: Microthyriales sp.
Lineage: Eukaryota; Fungi; Ascomycota; Dothideomycetes; Microthyriales
Description: eukaryotic LSU rRNA
Rfam family: Eukaryotic large subunit ribosomal RNA
Source: RNAcentral
CCAGUAACGGCGAGUGAAGCGGCAACAGCUCAGAUUUGAAAUCUGGCCCCCAGGGCCCGAGUUGUAAUCUGUAGAGGAUGCUUCGGGCAAGGCGCCGUCCGAGUUCCCUGGAACGGGACGCCGGAGAGGGUGAGAGCCCCGUACAGGCGGACGCCGAGCCUAUGUGAAGCUCCUUCGACGAGUCGAGUAGUUUGGGAAUGCUGCUCAAAGCGGGAGGUAAAUUUCUUCUAAAGCUAAAUACUGGCCAGAGACCGAUAGCGCACAAGUAGAGUGAUCGAAAGAUGAAAAGCACUUUGAAAAGAGGGUUAAAAAGCACGUGAAAUUGUUGAAAGGGAAGCGCCUGUGACCAGACUCGCGCCCGGCGGAUCAUCCGGCGUUCUCGCCGGUGCACUCCGCCGGGCUCGGGCCAGCAUCGGUUCUUGUGGGUAGAUAAAGGCGGCGGGGAUGUGGCUCCCUCCGGGGUGUGUUAUAGCCCGCCGCUCAAUGUGCCC